UGAGGUUUGGCGGACAUCUCUGUGCCCUG
Molecule: non-coding RNA, 29 nt
Filed under: Mus musculus (house mouse)
Lineage: Eukaryota; Metazoa; Chordata; Mammalia; Rodentia; Muridae
Source: RNAcentral